This 23-nucleotide small nuclear RNA is filed under the name Arabidopsis thaliana (thale cress). Its description in RNAcentral is "snRNA_05859". The record is from RNAcentral. Lineage: Eukaryota; Viridiplantae; Streptophyta; Magnoliopsida; Brassicales; Brassicaceae.
UGUCAAAAUCUUGCAUCACCUCU